UGCGCACCACUUCGGGAUCCGGCAGGA
Molecule: small RNA, 27 nt
Filed under: Bombyx mori (domestic silkworm)
Lineage: Eukaryota; Metazoa; Arthropoda; Insecta; Lepidoptera; Bombycidae
Description: ovarian small RNA-33952
Source: RNAcentral